GAUGAACGCUAGCUACAGGCUUAACACAUGCAAGUCGAGGGGCAGCGGGAUUGAAGCUUGCUUCAAUUGCCGGCGACCGGCGCACGGGUGAGUAACGCGUAUCCAACCUUCCGUACACUCGGGGAUAGCCUUUCGAAAGAAAGAUUAAUACCUGAUGGUAUGAUGAGAUUGCAUGAUAUCAUCAUUAAAGAUUUAUCGGUGUACGAUGGGGAUGCGUUCCAUUAGGUAGUAGGCGGGGUAACGGCCCACCUAGCCAACGAUGGAUAGGGGUUCUGAGAGGAAGGUCCCCCACAUUGGAACUGAGACACGGUCCAAACGCCUACGGGAGGCAGCAGUGAGGAAUAUUGGUCAAUGGACGAGAGUCUGAACCAGCCAAGUAGCGUGAAGGAUGAAGGUCCUACGGAUUGUAAACUUCUUUUAUAAGGGAAUAAACCCUCCCACGUGUGGGAGCUUGUAUGUACCUUAUGAAUAAGCAUCGGCUAACUCCGUG
Molecule: ribosomal RNA, 490 nt
Filed under: uncultured bacterium
Lineage: Bacteria
Description: partial 16S ribosomal RNA
Rfam family: Bacterial small subunit ribosomal RNA
Source: RNAcentral